CCUAUCGAACCAGUUGGCGCACAAUGCUUUCUCUCGCGACGCACCCACCUCACCAAUUGUGAUUUUUAAAGCGAUUUGCUGUGCUUUCGACCACCUCGUGUUGUUUGUUGGAAUCGUUCUGUCGACGUAGAGCUCGUGCAUCGUGUUCCCAGUUGCAUCCUCCUCCCCCAGUUGAGGUGAUAUCACGAAGCCUCUCAGUGUGGGGAGCUUUCGCCCGUGGCAACGAAAUAACCGACACCCGAAGGCAGCAGCGUCAGGAUCCAUCGGGCGGUGAGAAACCAAAAAAAUCGAAUUUCUGCGACAGUGGUUGAAGGAAUCCGGCGGCUGCUUUACCUUUCGGCUCCUCCCCCAGCAUGGCCCAUCAUUGAACUGGUCAUGUUGUCCCUGUUUCCGCGUCCGUUAUGUAAAGGCUUCGUUGCUUUGCAGCCGUGACUCAAUCACUCUGCUUUAUUUGCGCUGGGGCUUGAUAAGUUCCGUUUUCAGCCUUCGGUUGUGUAGAUAGUUAGUCCCUCGUGUAAUCGUCCUCCUCCGUCGCGAUGGACAUGUUGGUGCUGUUUCCGCUGGAGUUUUUGGCCAAUUUUCCUGCUGGCAAUCCGGUGCUGAAUGUGCUGAAAGCGGGGAAAGACGUCGCUGGGGCGAAGAAUCUCAUUGCGGCGGUUGAGGAAGGCGAGGAUUUGACGCCCAGUCGAAGACUCGAGGUUGCGAAGGCGCCGUCUCUGAGCUCCAUGCCUAAGAAGGGACUUCUAGGAUGAGGAGCUGUUGGGGCCAUGGCCUGUCGCUUGUAACAUAGUGAUGUCUGACGGAGUAUUCUGUAUCUAGAAUAAUAUUGGGGUAUUUGCCAGGGGAGAUUGUCUUAAGAGUUCGCCGCGAGCUCGGUGGCGGUGACACCAGUGCAAUGAUUUGCGCUUCAUCAGCGAGUGCGAGAGUGGAGAUGUCUCGGUCAUCGAUGCUUUGAGCAAUGGCUCAGAUCUACACCAACAAGGACAACUUCAACAGAAUGUGGAAUAAGAGAUCCCAGCUUUCGGAUCCAACUGGCAACGUGCUCUUCCAGCGCUCUUCAUGGUCCGACAGUAUCAGAAUAUUCGUGUAGGGCGUCGACGUUUGUACAGAUCGUGACAUGGUGUAAAAAGAAAAAAAAAAAAAAACUGAAACUGCAACCAGCAAUCAGAUCAGCGUGUGUACAAAGUCGUGUUAUGUCCAUAAGUUUGCAAUUUUCUAGAGGUUUUGAUUAUUUAUUCAGGCAGCGCAGUUAUGAUCUACACUUCUUCUCUGUUAUGUGUACAAGCUGUACAAACAGCGGUUGACUGGAAGAGUUGCGCUAUUGCACUUGUGAAUAUU
Molecule: long non-coding RNA, 1338 nt
Organism: Physcomitrium patens
Lineage: Eukaryota; Viridiplantae; Streptophyta; Bryopsida; Funariales; Funariaceae
Source: RefSeq, a predicted model, not a curated record